UACGGGAGGCAGCAGUGGGGAAUAUUGCACAAUGGGCGCAAGCCUGAUGCAGCCAUGCCGCGUGUAUGAAGAAGGCCUUCGGGUUGUAAAGUAUUUCAGCAGUGAGGAAGGUGGGUAUGUUAAUAGCAUAUUCAUUUGACGUUAGCUGCAGAAGAAGCACCGGCUAACUCCGUGCCAGCAGCCGCGGUAAUACGGAGGGUGCGAGCGUUAAUCGGAAUUACUGGGCGUAAAGCGCAUGCAGGUGGUUUGUUAAGUCAGAUGUGAAAGCCCGGGGCUCAACCUCGGAAUUGCAUUUGAAACUGGCAAACUAGAGUACUGUAGAGGGGGGUAGAAUUUCAGGUGUAGCGGUGAAAAUGCGUAGAGAUCUGAAGGAAUACCGGUGGCGAAGGCGGCCCCCUGGACAGAUACUGACACUCAGAUGCGAAAGCGUGGGGAGCAAACAGGAUUAGAUACCCUGGUAG
RNAcentral lists this ribosomal RNA (461 nucleotides) under uncultured bacterium. RNAcentral describes it as "bacterial SSU rRNA". It matches the Rfam family "Bacterial small subunit ribosomal RNA", at positions 340 to 793 of the family's 1533-position model. The record is from RNAcentral.